This is a long non-coding RNA of Lates calcarifer (barramundi perch), 2652 nucleotides long. RefSeq lists it as uncharacterized. The transcript is spliced from 5 exons. The record is from RefSeq and is a predicted model, not a curated record. NCBI's taxonomy places the organism in Eukaryota, Metazoa, Chordata, Actinopteri, Centropomidae.
GAUGGCCAGCAGUGUGGUCAAGAUGUAGCGGAGUGUCCUGUUUUUCUCCAACUGGUCCAUCCCUUCCUUUAGGUCCUGAAGAGGCUCUGCCACCUCCUAAAACACUGCAGGCGAGCAGACAGCUCUGUGAUGGAGGAGAGGGUGAGAAGGAACUGUUCAGCACUGCCCAGGGGAAUAUCAGGGUUGACCAGCUGAGCCUCCUGGAUCCUCUGCUUCUCCUCCUCUGUGGGGAUCAUUGUCAGGAUUUUCUGGGAGAAGAAGGAAGGAAUGAAAGGAGGGGAAGGGAAAGGAGCAGGAUUACAGGAUCAUUCAUCAAAGGCGCUCCUCUCUCUCCAGGCGUCUCCGCUCCCUCUCCGCAGCCAGUGACUCUUGAUGCUGCCUGUACGAUGAAGUUAACAAUCCACCCAAAGCAGGUAUUUGUCCAGAAGAAACUUUAUAGAUGGAGUGAGUUGUACUUUAUCAACCAUGUCCAGACUACGUUGUGCAUUAGCUGUGAAAAAGCUGACAUGCCAACCUGUCAGGUUUGGACUCUGGUGUGGAGGAUGCCGAGCUAGAGAAGCGAUGGAUGGGUGAUGUAGGAGCCUGGUGCCUGCCAGGACAGAGAGGAGGGGCUGGACAGUGCCUCAAGAAUCUGUGAUGUGAUGCGAUGUGAAUUCCAAUGUCAUACUGCUGGACAGUUUACAUCUUAAGCACUUCUCCUGAGGCAUUUGAACAGCUUGAAGGAGCCAUGCCAUAAAACUGAAGGGAGCCUGCAGGUGCACUGCUCGUCUAUGUGUCUGCAUAAGGGCAAUCAUUCAUAAAUUUAUCUUUUCACCAGACCAAAUCUUGUCUGUGGGGCCUUGUCAUUGCUGUGUUGAAUCCAAUAGCAUAUUGUGCACAUUUUGUCCUUGAAUAGUUUCCAAUAACACUGUAAAUUAAAAAUAAGUUCACAAAGAUGACAGAAAAACAACUUUAGGAUGACUGCAGUAUGUGCACAUCUUCCUGAAACAAAACAUAAUAUGUACAUCAUCAUGUCCCCUGCACGCUCUUGUUACACUUGACCUUUUGACUCCUGGCCUUACCUCUCAGCCCAGCAGGGCUUUCUAGCUGUGUAAGAUGUAGGAGAGGUGUUGUCUGUAUCUGUCAGACUGAAGAUGGAAGUGAGAGAGAAAUGAAAAAGAGAGAGUAACAGUCAGAUCAGACACUCCAAAGAUUAAAAUAAUUAAAUGUUAGUUACACAGACAAGGUAGUGAGACAGCAGUUGAAGGUAGGAGGGCUGCAAGACCACACAACAACAAAGCCGACAGGUGCAGGGCGGGGAUGAUCUCUGUCAGUCUGUCUUACCGAUUCAGUGUGCUGUUUAGAAAGCAACAAAUCUAGUGUCCUUAAUCCUAAUUAAUAAAGCCACUUUAGAAGCUUUCACUGGAUUAUCUUUUAUUUUCCACUCCAUAAAAAACAAGGAAUUAUUUCUAGGGAUGCAUGCUGAGGAGCUGCUCUGCCAGUCCACAGUUGGUCGCCUAUCCUUUUUAUUAUUGCUACAGAAUCUCUGCAAGAAACACGAACAGCUAAAAGACGGUGACUGUGACUCAUGCUAAUACUUUGAAUUCCUUAAUGCUUUGAAUGAAUUUAUUGACUUGUCUCGGAUUAACUGUGGUGCAAAGCCACAAUGAAAGACAGAUGAGUAGUAAAUGUCUGUAAAAAUAAUGCUUUCCAGCAACUGAGAAAAGGAAGUAAUUAUGACCUUCCUUCUUCUGGUACAAUACGUCUUUGGAGAUGACAGAUGAAACAUAAAUCACGUCUGAUGGGAAAUAAAGGAGUUUCUGGCCACUGUGGUCAAGACAACAUUUCUAAAGGAUGAAGGAGGUAGAGAGGAACAAAGCUAAAGCAUGUCCAAAACAAAUAACCCUAUGAGGUGCAAUUUAGAAGAAUGUUUUAAAAGAAAAAGUGUAAACCUUUAGCAUUACUAUAUCUGCUUUUACUCCUGAUGCUUGCAUGUGUCUCCGCUGAACGUACAGUGGUCUACAUAGAGACACAGACACCAGUGAUGGGGAGAGGACAGUGUGCUUCCACAUUGCGGAGUGUGAUGGUCUGGAUGUAACACAAGAUGGACUGUACAGCAGCUCCCGCCCACUACCUGUAGCGCCUCUCUCUGUGCUUGCCCUGCUCACUCUCUGCAACACCUGGCCCUGGCUCUGAUUCAAGUGCAUGGAUGGAGAAAGAGGUUGGGGGGGGGGCAGGGAAAGGGAGGGGGAAGGGGGAGGGGUGAGGCUGGUGUAGACUGACACUGAGGGUGUGCGGAGCCUUGGCAUUCUACUCAAGAGCAACAGGGAAGACACAGUCAGGUGCGCUGGAGAGUUGGGGGAGAACACACCAAGGACUAAAGGUCCUCUUUUUAGGUGCGAUGGACACAGGAGAAGAUGUCCUGGUCUUGACGCUGAGAUAUUCUCUCUGCCCUUCAGGGUCACUGGCUUUAGGGAGGAUGUUGGCCAUACACUUUAAGUUCAAACACAUGUUAGGAGUGUCUGCUACAGCUGGAGCCACACUAGGACAACAAAAUACAAAAGAGAGUAGGAGUCCAAAUGGGAAAGAGGGAAAGAAUCAUACUUUUGAACUAUGUCAGAGAAAACUAUGCAAACGUGAAGGGGAAGGAGAGAUCGAGUCGCUCUUGGGGAA